This 84-nucleotide transfer RNA is filed under the name Clostridiales bacterium. RNAcentral's name for it is "tRNA-Leu". It matches the Rfam family "tRNA". From Rfam's summary of the family: Transfer RNA (tRNA) molecules are approximately 80 nucleotides in length. Their secondary structure includes four short double-helical elements and three loops (D, anti-codon, and T loops). Lineage: Bacteria; Bacillati; Bacillota; Clostridia; Eubacteriales. The record is from RNAcentral. RNAcentral also lists the same sequence under 1 other name.
GCGGAGAUGUCGGAAUUGGCAGACGAGCAAGACUAAGGAUCUUGUGCCAGCAAUGGCGUGUGGGUUCAAGUCCCAUUCUCCGCA